ACACUCCAACUAUGGCUCAGUGUGGCUCCGGCUCUUCACAGGAGCGCAUCGUAUCAGCUACAGAGACGUUAGUUGGAGCUCAAGCAGGAAUCAUCACUGUACUGGAUCAUAAGGAGGAACCGAGCUUCUUUUACUGCUCAUUGGAAGUAAUCACACUGAUCGAUCUGCUUGAUUUGCCAAAGCACAAAUCUGUUUACGCAGGGAUUCUUUGGACGCAUUAAGUGGAUCAUAUGCAACCGUUGCAGCACUGACACACGUCAAGGAGUUAUUAAAAUUAUUAUUAUUAUUAUUGGAAAAACUGGAUCAUGAUGGCAGCAGCUAAUGGAUUCAACGCUCCAGCUGUGGAUCUUGUAGGAUAUAAGGGAAUCUCUUGCACGGAAUGCGUGCUGUCCAGCAACAGUUACUCGUGCUGCCCAAGUCCUGCUCCUGGACAAGUCUUUUGUCUCUUGGGAUACUUUACGCGUGUUCAAGUGUGGCCAGUGUCAUAGACGGCCAGUACAAUGAUAUGCUUUUGGAAAAUCGAUGUCUGUUGUGGCGGGAUUUGACAUACAGCAAUGGAAUAUCCUGGGAUUUUUUUUCUAUUGGUGCUCAGCAGAUGUCCAGCGAUUUGGAUAAUGUCAGUACGCAUCUCCUGAUCCAGCAGUGAAGGAAUCCAAAUUCCUGGAAUGAGGUGUCAACCCUUAAUUGCUUCCCAGGGAUCUUAUGAUGAUCUCAGGUGAGCAACGGGAAGAAGCUGACUAAUGGAAACAUGAUCUCAAGAGAUUCAACAGGAUCAUACUAAAUCGUGGUUUGGACUGUGGACCAGCAUCCCCCUGCAGCAGAUGUUUGCUCCUGGCAUGGCUGCUGACAGCCUGAGCUCCAUCACUGACAAUCUCACUCUCAGGAUCCAGCGCCAGCAACUUGGACUUGGAGAAGCUGAACUCAGAAGGACAGUUGAGUGUGUUCUGCUGCUCAGACAUUAAGGAACAGAUCAGUCAAUCCUGUCUGGAGAGGUGCUCUAAAGGAAACUCAAUGCAUAUUUUGUAUAUUUACCACAAUGGAUCUACAAAUUGUUUGACUUUUUUCUAAAUUGAACCUGGAUUAAUAUUUUCCCAUAUAUACAUCUGCUUUUGAUAUUCAGUGUUUAUUCACAUUGUUGCUCUUACGCUGUAGUUGUGACAUUUACUAUGUUAUUCUGGAUACAGUAUCAACAAGUGCUGGAACUGUAAACGGAAAAUAAUUAGAGGUUAUUUUCAUUUUUAGUACUAGUUUUACAGACUGAGGUCAGCACUAACACCAAUUUGAUUGCAAAGUACAGCAUAUACACAGUUUAUCUAACAAAGAGCGCGAUAAAUGUUUUCUAUUGUUAAAAUGAAUUGAAACACAUGUGAUCAAGCUUCCUCAGAAGGAUUACUCAGACACAGGAAAUGUAACUGCAUCAUUUGACAUUUGAUAUUCUAAUUGUGAUCACAAAGAAGCCAUUGUCACCAAGUUGCUGAUGAAUGCAAACCAAAAAAACUUCUCUAUUGACACUACAUUUCAUUGUAACACAUUGGCAACCUGUGUUUAUGUUAGUUAACAAACCUGUCAAGACACUUAAUCUCCUUAUGAUUUAUAGCUCCAUAACUAUGAAACCAUGUUUGCAAAAAUAAAAAAAAGCAUAACCAAACUCCUGUCUGUUAAGUUUAAUAACUGAUAAGAUGCUUUCACAAUGUUCGUUAUGCGUGUGUGCAUAUGUGUGUCCAUUGUUAUUGUUAGGCAUGUUGGCCUCAUUACCAGUCUGUUUAUGUGCCAAUCUGCUACUUUCUGAGGACUAUCUGGAGUUGCAUCACUCUUUUUCUACUCAACAAGAGGCAGAGUAAAAGUGAAGUUUAAACUGAAAAUGGAAAAAUGUGAAAUUUAAAUGAUGAUAAACUAAGCAGUUAUUGGAAAUCCCAGGGUUUUACUUCACUAAUACCUGUGUGGAUAAUAGGCCAAAUUUGAAGUGAUAUAAAAAUGUAUUGUGAAAAAACACAUUUAUUUAGAAUUUACUUUUAUAGUUACUUUUCUAGAAAUGAGAGUUUUCCUGAUAAAGAUGACAUAAUGGAAAAAUG
Molecule: long non-coding RNA, 2072 nt
Organism: Thunnus maccoyii (southern bluefin tuna)
Lineage: Eukaryota; Metazoa; Chordata; Actinopteri; Scombriformes; Scombridae
Exons: 4
Source: RefSeq, a predicted model, not a curated record